Magnolia sinica is the source of this 658-nucleotide long non-coding RNA. RefSeq lists it as uncharacterized. The record is from RefSeq and is a predicted model, not a curated record. The transcript has 3 exons. NCBI's taxonomy places the organism in Eukaryota, Viridiplantae, Streptophyta, Magnoliopsida, Magnoliales, Magnoliaceae.
UUGCUUCUAAAUAGACACUUCAAGUCAUGAUGUAUUGUUUGGGUGUUGAUUAUGUCAGAAAAAUGAAUUUAAAACAUUGACUUUUGUUUUCUUAAAUUGCAGAUUUAGUUGCAUAAGCAGGCAAUAUAAGUACCUUUUCUGGAAAGAAAAUCUGCAUGUAUCGGUAUGCAAUAGAUAAAUCUGGAUAUAUCUUCCAAACAAACUCACAUGAAUACGAGGAAACUAUGAACAAACCCACCAUAUCCUGAAACAUCGCAAAGGAAACUGGACCUGUAAGCAUGAUUUUCACCAUACUAAUGUAUAAUGCUUCAAAGCUUCAGCGAAGCAGAUGAAAUUUACAAAAUAUGCAAUGUGAUAGGCAGUCCCAGUCAGGAUUCUUGGGCUGAAGGCCUGCAACUUGCAAAUGCAAUCAAGUACCAAUUCCCAGAGGUUGGACUUUAUUUUAUUCUUCAAAUUCGCGGCUACAAUUGGCUGUAAUAUGCUACAGCCCAUUUUAUAUCCUACAGGGAGAAUCUCAUGUUUUGUUGUCAUCAUGUGCCCAAGCAAUGGACCAGCUUGAAUAGUCUUUAACUGUUUCCUAAUUAGCACGUGUUGUUCUUAAUGGUUGUUGCUUGCCACAAUGAAGUGGUCAAUAAUUUGCUGUCUAUAAAUCACUUCG